This 74-nucleotide transfer RNA is filed under the name Actinobacteria bacterium RBG_16_68_12. Its description in RNAcentral is "tRNA-Cys". It matches the Rfam family "tRNA". Rfam says of the family: Transfer RNA (tRNA) molecules are approximately 80 nucleotides in length. Their secondary structure includes four short double-helical elements and three loops (D, anti-codon, and T loops). Lineage: Bacteria; Bacillati; Actinomycetota. The record is from RNAcentral.
GGCGCCGUGGCCGAGAGGUUAGGCAGAGGCCUGCAAAGCCUCGUACAGCGGUUCGAGUCCGCUCGGCGCCUCUA